RNAcentral lists this ribosomal RNA (385 nucleotides) under uncultured bacterium. RNAcentral's name for it is "bacterial SSU rRNA". It matches the Rfam family "Bacterial small subunit ribosomal RNA", at positions 30 to 417 of the family's 1533-position model. The record is from RNAcentral.
AUUAAACGCUGGCGGCAUGCCUUACACAUGCAAGUCGAACGGUAGCGCGGGGCAACCUGGCGACGAGUGGCGAACGGGUGAGUAAAGCAUCGGAACGUGCCCUGGAAUGGGGGAUAACGUAGCGAAAGUUACGCUAAUACCACAUAUUCUGUGAGCAGGAAAGCAGGGGACCGCAAGGCCUUGCGCUCUUUGAGCGGCCGAUGUCAGAUUAGCUAGUUGGUGAGGUAAAGGCUUACCAAGGCGACGAUCUGUAGCGGGUCUGAGAGGAUGAUCCGCCACACUGGAACUGAGACACGGUCCAGACUCCUACGGGAGGCAGCAGUGGGGAAUUUUGGACAAUGGGGGCAACCCUGAUCCAGCCAUGCCGCGUGAGUGAAGAAGGCCU